RNAcentral lists this long non-coding RNA (490 nucleotides) under Gallus gallus (chicken). RNAcentral describes it as "lncRNA (ENSGALG00010027647.1)". The record is from RNAcentral. Lineage: Eukaryota; Metazoa; Chordata; Aves; Galliformes; Phasianidae.
CAAUGGCUAACUUUGCUCACAGAACAUUUCACUUCAAGCAUCUCCACUACAGCUGGGAGGUUGAGAUGACCAGGAUUUCACCUCUUUCCUCACCAGAAUGAACUCUCCUAUUCUGAAUAUAAAAACGUUUAUGAACGGAGCCCGAAAGCUCUCCUAAGAAGCCGCCUCCACAUCCCGAAUGGGACGGGGGGAGAGAGGGGUUUCAUAAUGCUUCGAGAAGAAGACGAAGAGAGGAAAAGAAAAAAAAAAAAAACCCUAAGCUUUAAUUUUAAUUCUCCUGCCUUUAUUUAUCUGAUUUGUGGCCAGAUGGUGGUGAAGCAAGGAAACCCUUUGUGCCCACGAAGCACACAUGUGAAAGUGCUUCUGUAAUGUAAUCAUUGAGACCGGAAGGGUUCAUACUGUGUCUGAAAAGAGACAAUGGAGCCGGGAUAUAUCAACAUCGCCGAAAUCGAGUUCAUUCGCGAUGCAGGCCCUUUGACUGCGGUUGUCA